This 472-nucleotide ribosomal RNA is filed under the name uncultured bacterium. RNAcentral's name for it is "partial 16S ribosomal RNA". It matches the Rfam family "Bacterial small subunit ribosomal RNA", at positions 28 to 507 of the family's 1533-position model. The record is from RNAcentral.
GACGAACGCUGGCGGCGUGCUUAACACAUGCAAGUCGAACGCUGAAGCUUGGUGCUUGCACUGGGUGGAUGAGUGGCGAACGGGUGAGUAAUACGUGAGUAACCUGCCCUUGACUCUGGGAUAAGCCUGGGAAACUGGGUCUAAUACUGGAUACGACAUGCCACUGCAUGGUGGUGUGUGGAAAGGGUUUUACUGGUUUUGGAUGGGCUCACGGCCUAUCAGCUUGUUGGUGGGGUAAUGGCCUACCAAGGCGACGACGGGUAGCCGGCCUGAGAGGGUGACCGGCCACACUGGGACUGAGACACGGCCCAGACUCCUACGGGAGGCAGCAGUGGGGAAUAUUGCACAAUGGGCGGAAGCCUGAUGCAGCGACGCCGCGUGAGGGAUGACGGCCUUCGGGUUGUAAACCUCUUUCAGCACGGAAGAAGAGAGAGUGACGGUACGUGCAGAAGAAGCGCCGGCUAACUACGUG